Molecule: ribosomal RNA, 1381 nt
Filed under: uncultured Oxalobacteraceae bacterium
Lineage: Bacteria; Pseudomonadati; Pseudomonadota; Betaproteobacteria; Burkholderiales; Oxalobacteraceae
Description: bacterial SSU rRNA
Rfam family: Bacterial small subunit ribosomal RNA
Source: RNAcentral
GAGUUUGAUCCUGGCUCAGAUUGAACGCUGGCGGCAUGCCUUACACAUGCAAGUCGAACGGCAGCGCGGGGCAACCUGGCGGCGAGUGGCGAACGGGUGAGUAAUAUAUCGGAACGUACCCUGGAGUGGGGGAUAACGUAGCGAAAGUUACGCUAAUACCGCAUACGAUCUAAGGAUGAAAGCAGGGGACCGCAAGGCCUUGUGCUCCUGGAGCGGCCGAUAUCUGAUUAGCUAGUUGGUGGGGUAAAGGCCUACCAAGGCAUCGAUCAGUAGCUGGUCUGAGAGGACGACCAGCCACACUGGAACUGAGACACGGUCCAGACUCCUACGGGAGGCAGCAGUGGGGAAUUUUGGACAAUGGGCGCAAGCCUGAUCCAGCAAUGCCGCGUGAGUGAAGAAGGCCUUCGGGUUGUAAAGCUCUUUUGUCAGGGAAGAAACGGUGGAGGCUAAUAUCCUCUGCUAAUGACGGUACCUGAAGAAUAAGCACCGGCUAACUACGUGCCAGCAGCCGCGGUAAUACGUAGGGUGCAAGCGUUAAUCGGAAUUACUGGGCGUAAAGCGUGCGCAGGCGGUUUUGUAAGUCUGUCGUGAAAUCCCCGGGCUCAACCUGGGAAUUGCGAUGGAGACUGCAAGGCUAGAAUCUGGCAGAGGGGGGUAGAAUUCCACGUGUAGCAGUGAAAUGCGUAGAGAUGUGGAGGAACACCGAUGGCGAAGGCAGCCCCCUGGGUCAAGAUUGACGCUCAUGCACGAAAGCGUGGGGAGCAAACAGGAUUAGAUACCCUGGUAGUCCACGCCGUAAACGUUGGGCACUAGGUGUGGGACCCUAUCGACGGGUUCCGUGCCGCAGCUAACGCAUUAAGUGCCCCGCCUGGGGAGUACGGUCGCAAGAUUAAAACUCAAAGGAAUUGACGGGGACCCGCACAAGCGGUGGAUGAUGUGGAUUAAUUCGAUGCAACGCGAAAAACCUUACCUACCCUUGACAUGGAAGGAAUCCUGGAGAGAUUUGGGAGUGCCCGAAAGGGAACCUUUACACAGGUGCUGCAUGGCUGUCGUCAGCUCGUGUCGUGAGAUGUUGGGUUAAGUCCCGCAACGAGCGCAACCCUUGUCAUUAGUUGCUACGAAAGAGCACUCUAAUGAGACUGCCGGUGACAAACCGGAGGAAGGUGGGGAUGACGUCAAGUCCUCAUGGCCCUUAUGGGUAGGGCUUCACACGUCAUACAAUGGUACAUACAGAGGGCCGCCAACCCGCGAGGGGGAGCUAAUCCCAGAAAGUGUAUCGUAGUCCGGAUUGUAGUCUGCAACUCGACUACAUGAAGUUGGAAUCGCUAGUAAUCGCGGAUCAGCAUGUCGCGGUGAAUACGUUCCCGGGUCUUGUACACAC